This 919-nucleotide ribosomal RNA is filed under the name uncultured archaeon. Its description in RNAcentral is "bacterial SSU rRNA". It matches the Rfam family "Archaeal small subunit ribosomal RNA", at positions 1 to 922 of the family's 1478-position model. The record is from RNAcentral.
UUCCGGUUGAUCCUGCCGGAGGCCAUUGCUAUUGGAGUCCGAUUUAGCCAUGCUAGUCGCACGGGUUCAGACCCGUGGCGAAUAGCUCCGUAACACGUGGCCAAACUACCCUAUGGAUCGGAAUAACCUCGGGAAACUGAGGCUAAUACCAAUACCGCUCUCACGUUGGAAUUACAGAGAGCACGAAACGCUCCGGCGCCAUAGGAUGUGGCUGCGGCCGAUUAGGUAGACGGUGGGGUAACGGCCCACCGUGCCGAUAAUCGGUACGGGUUGUGAGAGCAAGAACCCGGAGACGGUAUCUGAGACAAGAUACCGGGCCCUACGGGGCGCAGCAGGCGCGAAACCUUUACACUGCACGAACGUGCGAUAAGGGGACUCCAAGUGCGAGGGCAUACAGUCCUCGCUUUUCCCUACCGUAAGGUGGUAGGUGAAUAAGAGCUGGGCAAGACCGGUGCCAGCCGCCGCGGUAAUACCGGCAGCUCGAGUGAUGGCCAAUAUUAUUGGGCCUAAAGCGUCCGUAGCUGGCCGAACAGGUCCGUCGGGAAAUCCGCUCGCUCAACGAGCGGACGUCCGGCGGAAACCAGUCGGCUUGGGACCGGAAGACCCGAGGGGUACGUCCGGGGUAGGAGUGAAAUCCUGUAAUCCUGGACGGACCACCGGUGGCGAAAGCGCCUCGGGAGGACGGAUCCGACAGUGAGGGACGAAAGCUUGGGUCACGAACCGGAUUGGAUACCCGGGUAGUCCAAGCUGUAAACGAUGCUCGCUAGGUGUGGCACUGGCUACGAGCCAGUGCUGUGCCGUAGGGAAGCCGAGAAGCGAGCCGCCUGGGAAGUACGUCCGCAAGGAUGAAACUUAAAGGAAUUGGCGGGGGAGCACUACAACCGGAGGAGCCUGCGGUUUAAUUGGAUUCAACGCCGGG